Cebus imitator (Panamanian white-faced capuchin) is the source of this 1561-nucleotide long non-coding RNA. RefSeq lists it as uncharacterized. The transcript is spliced from 3 exons. Lineage: Eukaryota; Metazoa; Chordata; Mammalia; Primates; Cebidae. The record is from RefSeq and is a predicted model, not a curated record.
ACUUUCGAUGGCAUUGAAACAUUCAAUGGCGUUACUUUCAAUGGUAAAAAUGCAAUUACUUUUGCACCAUUGCUAUUUACAAUAGCAUUAACAAAUAUGAAAUACCUAAGGAUAUACCUGGCAAAAGAUGUGUAAGAACCAUGUACUAAAAACUACGAAAUAUUGCUGAGAAAAAUUAAAGAAUACUUAAAUAAAUGGAGAGAUGUAUCAUGCUCAAAAAUCAAAAUACUCAAUAAUGUUCAGAUUUCAAUUCUCCCCAUUUAUCUAUAGACUCAACAUAGCCCCAAUCAAAAUUCCCGCAGGCUUUUUUGUAAUGACUGACAAGCUGAUUCCAAAAGUUAUAUUCAUAUGCAAAAGACAUAGAAUAGCCAAAAUAAACUUGAGAAAAUAAGUGUAAGUUAGAUGAAGUCGUACUAGCUGAUUUCAAGAUUGUAAAAUUAUGGCAAUUAAGAAAGUGGUGUUAAGGCAGAUCGUUGGAGCAGAAUAUGGUCCAGUAAUAAACCUGUACACAUGUGGUCAAAUGAUUUUCAAGAAAAGUGAAAAUGAAAUUAAGUAAAGAAUGAAUGGUAUUUUCAACAAAUGGUGCUGGAACAAUUUGUUAUCCAUAUGUAAAAAUAAAUAAUUUUUUAAAUUAAAUAAAUAACUUCAAUCUAUAUCUUGCAUUAUAUACAAAUGUUAACAUGAAAUGUAAAAACUAAAAUUCGAAAACUUCCACAAGAAAAGCACGGAAUAAACCUUUUGUUAGGCAAAACUUGAAUCAGGCAAAACUUUAUUAGCUGUAACACCAACAGCAUGAUCCAUUUUUAAAAAUGAUAAAUUGGACUCCAUCAGAAUUAAGAACUUCUGUCUUCAAAAGGCAUUGUUAAAAUAACAAAGACAUCUUAGCAAAAUGAAAGAAAACUAACUUGCAAAUUAUACAUAAGACAAAGAACUUGUAUACAAAAUAUAUGAAGAACUUGCUAUACUUAAUUAUAAGAAAAGAAUUAUCCCAUUUUUUAAAUAAACAAAGUUUUGAAUAGACAUUUCACCAAAGUAUAUAGACAGGAAGUAAACAGAUGAAAAAUUUUCAUCAUUAGUCUCAGAGAUAACCAAAUUAAGACCUCAAUAACAUAGCACUACACACUUCUUAGGCUGCCUAAAAUUUAAAAAUUGGAAACACCAAGGGUUAGCAAGGAACUGGAGCAACUGAAAUUCACAUACAAUGCUGAUGGAAAUAUAAAAUGAUACAAGUUCAUCAGUAUGGAAGUCCCGCCAAAAGUUAAACAUACACCUAUCAUAUGAUCCAGCCAUUCCACUCCUAAGUAUUUAAGAGAAAUAAUAGGAUAUGUCCAUACAUGAACUUAAACAAACAUUCAUAGCACCUUUAUUUUUAAUAGCCCCAGACUGUAAACAACCUGAAUGUCCAUCCACAGGUGAUAAACAAAUACAUCAUAUAUAUGCAAUAAAAUAUUUGUCAGCAAUAAAUAGAAAUAAACCACUGAUACAGCAGUGACAUGAAUAUCAAUAAUUAUGUUAUAGUCUUAAUAUUAUUAAGAUAGGACAAAACAGUGUACUUGCACCC